GAUGAACGCUGGCGGCGUGCUUAACACAUGCAAGUCGAACGAUGAAGCCCAGCUUGCUGGGUGGAUUAGUGGCGAACGGGUGAGUAACACGUGAGUAACCUGCCCUUAACUCUGGGAUAAGCCUGGGAAACUGGGUCUAAUACCGGAUAGGAGCGUCCACCGCAUGGUGGGUGUUGGAAAGAUUUAUCGGUUUUGGAUGGACUCGCGGCCUAUCAGCUUGUUGGUGAGGUAAUGGCUCACCAAGGCGACGACGGGUAGCCGGCCUGAGAGGGCGACCGGCCACACUGGGACUGAGAGACGGCCCAGACUCCUACGGGAGGCAGCAGUGGGGAAUAUUGCACAAUGGGCGAAAGCCUGAUGCAGCGACGCCGCGUGAGGGAUGACGGCCUUCGGGUUGUAAACCUCUUUCAGUAGGGAAGAAGCGAAAGUGACGGUACCUGCAGAAGAAGCACCGGCUAACUACGUG
This 466-nucleotide ribosomal RNA is filed under the name uncultured bacterium. Its description in RNAcentral is "partial 16S ribosomal RNA". It matches the Rfam family "Bacterial small subunit ribosomal RNA", at positions 28 to 507 of the family's 1533-position model. The record is from RNAcentral.